ACUAAUCUCUCUAUAUUAUAAAUCAUGUUGCAUAUUUCCCUCAAGUUUGUCCCUCUACAUUUUCAUUUAUUUCGUUAUACGGUCAUUGCCACACACGUGUUCCUUCCCCAACCACAUAACUCUCUCUCCAUUACCUACUUUACAUUACAGACAUUACAGACGCUUUAAUUUGAAUUUUGAAACUACAACCAUACGCUCUCGGACGUCUUGCUCUUCCCCAAACACACGCUCUUCCCCUUUUGAUUUCAUUCAAAUUAAACAUAUUUGUGGCUUGCUUCUUCUCUCGCUCAUAUAGAAUUCAAUCUUCAUCUCGAUUUGAAUUUCAAAUAUCGGUUUUUUUUCUUAAUCUUCUGGUUUUGUUAUCUUCUUGUAAUCAUGUUAGUUUGUCGAUAGAAAUUUGCUGUAGAUGAAAUCAUGUUGUUCCUGCAUGUUAUGAUUUUAAAUUUAUGGUUGUGAUUGUUUUGUGCCACUCAGGUUUAUUAGCAUGCUUUCUAAGUGUUUGAUAGAAUUCCUGACCCAAGUUUCUUUCUUUUUGUAGAUUUAAUGUUUUCCGAGGUUAGUUUACUCAUCAAGUGUUUGAUAUAAGAGCUUUCUAUUUUGGCAGAUUUUAUGUUUUGCGAGGUUAAUUUACUCAUCAAGUGUUUGAUAUAAGAGCUUGAUAUGAUUCAAUAUUUUGCUUAGGCUCGUUUACUCACCAAGUGUUUGAUAUAUAAUUGUUGAAUGUUUUGAUAUGAUUUUUCUGUGAUUUCAUAAUAAAACAAGUAUAGCUUUUGUAAUCUUUGUAUGACAUGGUGGGUGAUUUUCUGUUUUAUGAAUUACAAGUUCAACACUGUAA
Molecule: long non-coding RNA, 835 nt
Organism: Daucus carota subsp. sativus
Lineage: Eukaryota; Viridiplantae; Streptophyta; Magnoliopsida; Apiales; Apiaceae
Exons: 2
Source: RefSeq, a predicted model, not a curated record